AACGCAUAUUGCGCCCCUUGGUAUUCCGGGGGGCACACCUGUUCGAGCGCCAUUUUGACCCCUCAAGCAUUGCUUGGUGUUGGGCAGGGUCCUUUUGGGGGACCCGCCCGUAACUUGUAGGCGGCCAUCGGUGGCGCCCCCAGCGUAGCAGGCUAACGCACCCGCUUGGGGGUGGCCCGCGUGGCUAGCCCAAAACUUACCCAAAGGUUUGGCCUCGGAUCAGGUGGGGAUACCCGCUGAACUUAA
Molecule: unclassified non-coding RNA, 246 nt
Filed under: uncultured fungus
Lineage: Eukaryota; Fungi
Description: partial contains 5.8S ribosomal RNA, internal transcribed spacer 2, and large subunit ribosomal RNA
Source: RNAcentral